Molecule: ribosomal RNA, 465 nt
Filed under: Vreelandella stevensii
Lineage: Bacteria; Pseudomonadati; Pseudomonadota; Gammaproteobacteria; Oceanospirillales; Halomonadaceae
Description: partial 16S ribosomal RNA
Rfam family: Bacterial small subunit ribosomal RNA
Source: RNAcentral
CCUACGGGUGGCAGCAGUGGGGAAUAUUGGACAAUGGGGGCAACCCUGAUCCAGCCAUGCCGCGUGUGUGAAGAAGGCCCUCGGGUUGUAAAGCACUUUCAGUGAGGAAGAACGCCUGGUGGUUAAUACCCAUCAGGAAAGACAUCACUCACAGAAGAAGCACCGGCUAACUCCGUGCCAGCAGCCGCGGUAAUACGGAGGGUGCGAGCGUUAAUCGGAAUUACUGGGCGUAAAGCGCGCGUAGGUGGCUUGAUAAGCCGGUUGUGAAAGCCCCGGGCUCAACCUGGGAACGGCAUCCGGAACUGUCAAGCUAGAGUGCAGGAGAGGAAGGUAGAAGUCCCGGUGUAGCGGUGAAAUGCGUAGAGAUCGGGAGGAAUACCAGUGGCGAAGGCGGCCUUCUGGACUGACACUGACACUGAGGUGCGAAAGCGUGGGUAGCAAACAGGAUUAGAUACCCUGGUAGUC